AUUACUUUGACUUUGGGUAAAAAAAAUAAAAAUUGAAUCUUAUGAUUUUAAAAUAUGACUUUUCAGCCAGGUGUGGUGGUGGUUUCCUGUAACCCCAGCACUUGGAAGGCUGAGAAAUCCUCACCUAACUGCAGCCAUUUUAUUCAAUAAAGCUGCAGCCAUUUUGUUCUCUGCCACUGAACUCAGGUAAAUCACUUCAUUUGUUAUCAAACUGAAAUGUGUGUGAAUGUACUAAAAA
Molecule: long non-coding RNA, 238 nt
Filed under: Chinchilla lanigera (long-tailed chinchilla)
Lineage: Eukaryota; Metazoa; Chordata; Mammalia; Rodentia; Chinchillidae
Description: lncRNA (ENSCLAG00000028924.1)
Source: RNAcentral